Molecule: long non-coding RNA, 349 nt
Filed under: Mytilus galloprovincialis (Mediterranean mussel)
Lineage: Eukaryota; Metazoa; Mollusca; Bivalvia; Mytilida; Mytilidae
Source: RNAcentral
UAACUCCUUAAGGUGUCAAUUGACCAUUUUGGUCAUGUUGACUUAUUUGUAGAUCUUACUUUGCUGAUCAUUAUUGCUGUUUACAGUUUAUCUCUAUCUAUAAUAAUAUUCAAGAUAUUAACCAAAAACUGCAAAAUUUCCUUAAAAUUGCCAAUUCAGGGACAGCAACCCAACAACCGAUUGUCCAAUUUGUCUGAAAAUUUAAGGGCAGCUAGAUCUUGACUUGAUAAACAAUUUAACCCCUGUCAGAUUUGCUCUAAAUGCUUUGGUUUCAGAGUUAUAAGCCAAAAUCUACAUUUUACCCCUAUGUUCUAUUUUUAGCCAUGGUGGCCAUCUUGGUUGGUUGGCC